ACAGAUUCGACUAAUUGGCUAAGAAUAUAUAAUCCCAAUUUAAAUCUCGUGCCUAUCUCCUUCUUUAUAGCCAACAACAUAUUUUGAAAUUAAUUCAAACUCUCCUUGCGCAAACAACAGCAAGAGUCCUCCGCUUGGCUGACUCACCUUGCACCUUGCUGCUGGGGGGAGUUUCAAUCCCGUACGGCCCUUUUCCUGCACGCAACGCUGCUCGAACACGGGACCUUCAGAGUACCCAACACACUGCUGACCACUGGGACGGGCCUCCUUCUUU
Molecule: long non-coding RNA, 274 nt
Filed under: Gossypium barbadense (sea-island cotton)
Lineage: Eukaryota; Viridiplantae; Streptophyta; Magnoliopsida; Malvales; Malvaceae
Description: long non-coding RNA (GBAR_LNC001240)
Source: RNAcentral